UGACAAUAACAUGCAAACUAAAACAUUGUAUCACUAGCAAGCAGCUUGCUGUAUGUUUUAAUAACGUACUGAUUUGCAACCCCCAAAAGUCUGGUUAUACAAUUAUUCUGCAAGCAUGCUGCAAAACUAGCUACAAGCUAGCCAAAUAGCUUGCACAGUGCACAUAUUUUGCUGACAGCUAACGUUAGUUAGCUUAAUGUACAAAGUCAAGCAUGGAAGACCGUCUAAACGUACCUUUCAGUGUCCAUUGGAAACCUGAAGAAUAGCGAUGCUGACCGAUUACUUUUUAUGGUGCAAUUUGGAGCUGCGCAAAAGUUUGCCAUGGUUUGCUUAUGCUAGUAUAAUGCUUUUCAAAAGUAAUUUACUUCAAUAUUAAUUUAUCCAGAAAUUAGUAAAGAAUGGACUCGCACGCAACAGUGCUUUAUGUGGCCUGGAGGAAUCAACGCGACGCGCGAUUAAAUCACGACCUUCCCACAAUGCUUUGCUAACAUAACUCAGUACGCAUGUUUGUCACUGUCCUGUUCAUAUCACCUCAGGGUUCCAAUACUGAUAUUAGCUUUCCUUGCGCCCUUCGGAUCAACACAUGCCUGCACAAUUAUCCACACAAGACAUUUCAAAGGAGUUUUGACAUGGUUCAUGUUUGGCCCUCCGAAACUCGUUAGCCAGGUAUAGGACAGUAUUUUCUAACUUACCAUAUCCCUAUUUGACUAAAAUUACAGUCCAACAGAAGGGAAGUUGGAUCCAGUGAGUAAUCAAUGAAUACAUUUCUUUGUUAAGGCCUCCUCAUCCCACUCAUCCAAAGACUCAGAUCCUCUCCAGGUCUUUGGGAUGGUCAGGCAGGUCCUCCAGGAGAGCAGGGUUCCUCCUGUAGAUGUAAGCGCUGGCAUCGUCGUCCAGAUUCACCAGCUCUGCCAGAGAGGACACACAGGUGUCGUGGUCUGUCAGCAUCCCAGGCAGGUGGGAUGACUUGCGCUGGAUACGACAGGAACGACGGACUGGUGUCAGGAACUUCAGAUCCUUGAUGGUGUUUUUUCGCUUGGAACCACUUGCACAUGCUUCAGUGUUGAUUGUUCUCUUAACACUAGAAGGGGAAAGAUAGAUAGAAUUGUGUGGUUAGUUGACAGCCAUGUUCAGUUUAAUAUACAUUUCAAUAUAGAGAUGUGAAGUAGUGAUGUUCUCCAUGACCUCCAGUAUUUCCAAUAAUUGUAUGGAAGUGAUUUUAAAAUAGGCAUUUAAGAUAAGAAAUAUCACCUUUGAAGGUAUGGAGUUGUCUUCAGAUUGUAUUUCACUAUGGAGGCUCCCUCUGGUGUAGUCUCCAUCAAGCAUUCGUCAUCAUAAUCACUAUCAACUUCCUCAAUAUAACCCUUCCUUACUUUCUGCUCUGAAGCUCCCUCUCCUACUUCCCUUUUCACUUCCUCAGACCUGUCAAAAUUAUUCUCAGCAAACUCAUUCCUCUCUUCAAAUCCACAAUUUGUUUCAACCUCCACAAUUUUCCCUUCAGAUUCCUUUUUCUCAUGUGGCUCUAAAAGGAAAAAAAGAACACACCAAUGAAUAACACAUUAAUAAAGUUUACAUGAUAAAAUGUUACUCUUACAUGAUUUGAAUCAGGCAGAUGAUGCCAAGUGAGCAAGUAAAUUUGACUGUUUGCUGUGAAUGUAAAUGCACUGACCACAAAACUUACCAUCCACACUUGCUGAGGGCGUCUCCAAUGCCUCCAAAGCAUCACAAAGGUUGACCACAACCUGUGAUAAGACACAAGACAGUGGUGGUUAGGUUAUAUUUAAGAAUUUUGAUGAAUAAAAUUACAGUACCAAAAAAAUAAAUGACUAAACAAAGAA
Long non-coding RNA from Oncorhynchus kisutch (coho salmon), 1838 nucleotides. RefSeq lists it as uncharacterized. NCBI's taxonomy places the organism in Eukaryota, Metazoa, Chordata, Actinopteri, Salmoniformes, Salmonidae. The record is from RefSeq and is a predicted model, not a curated record. The transcript has 2 exons.